RNAcentral lists this ribosomal RNA (253 nucleotides) under uncultured bacterium. RNAcentral describes it as "partial 16S ribosomal RNA". It matches the Rfam family "Bacterial small subunit ribosomal RNA", at positions 524 to 776 of the family's 1533-position model. The record is from RNAcentral.
UACGUAGGGUGCGAGCGUUGUCCGGAAUUAUUGGGCGUAAAGAGCUCGUAGGUGGCGGGUCACGUCGGGUGUGAAAGCCCGGGGCUUAACUCCGGGUCUGCAUUCGAUACGGGUCUGCUGGGGUCCGGCAGGGGAGACUGGAAUUCCUGGUGUAGCGGUGAAAUGCGCAGAUAUCAGGAGGAACACCGGUGGCGAAGGCGGGUCUCUGGGCCGAUACUGACACUGAGAAGCGAAAGCGUGGGGAGCGAACAGG